This 458-nucleotide ribosomal RNA is filed under the name uncultured bacterium. Its description in RNAcentral is "bacterial SSU rRNA". It matches the Rfam family "Bacterial small subunit ribosomal RNA", at positions 1 to 507 of the family's 1533-position model. The record is from RNAcentral.
AGUACAGACGAGUUUGAUCAUGGCUCAGAACGAACGCUGGCGGCAGGCCUAACACAUGCAAGUCGAGCGCCCCGCAAGGGGAGCGGCGGACGGGUGAGUAACGCGUGGGAACGUACCCUUUGCUACGGAAUAGCCUCGGGAAACUGGGAGUAAUACCGUAUGUGCCCUUCGGGGGAAAGAUUUAUCGGCAAAGGAUCGGCCCGCGUUGGAUUAGGUAGUUGGUGGGGUAAUGGCCUACCAAGCCGACGAUCCAUAGCUGGUUUGAGAGGAUGAUCAGCCACACUGGGACUGAGACACGGCCCAGACUCCUACGGGAGGCAGCAGUGGGGAAUCUUAGACAAUGGGCGCAAGCCUGAUCUAGCCAUGCCGCGUGAGCGAUGAAGGCCUUAGGGUUGUAAAGCUCUUCAGUGGGGAAGAUAAUGACUGUACCCACAGAAGAAGCCCCGGCUAACUCCGUG